ACUGCUCAGUAACACGUGGAUAACCUGCCCAAGGGUCCGGGAUAACCCCGGGAAACCGGGGAUAAUACCGGAUGGAUCACUUAUGCUGGAAUGCUUGGUGGUCGAAAGGUGACGCCCUUGGAUGGGUCUGCGGCGGAUUAGGUUGACGCCGGUGUAACGUACCGGCGUGCCUGUAAUCCGUACGGGUUGUGGGAGCAAGAGCCCGGAGAUGGAUUCUGAGACACGAAUCCAGGCCCUACGGGGCGCAGCAGGCGCGAUAACUCUACAAUGCAGGCAACUGCGAUAGGGGGACAUCGAGUGGCAUCCACCUUGGGUGCCUGUCCCACCGUCUAAAAAACGGUGGUUAGCAAGGGCCGGGCAAGACCGGUGCCAGCCGCCGCGGUAAUACCGGCGGCUCGAGUGGUGGCCGAUAUUAUUGAGUCUAAAGGGUCCGUAGCCGGCUUUGCAAGUCCCCUGGGAAAUCCAGCGGCUUAACCGUUGGGCUUUCAUGGGAUACUACAUUGCUUGGGACUGGGAGAGGUAGGAGGUACUCGGGGGGUAGGGGUGAAAUCCUGUAAUCCUCCGGGGACCACCGGUGGCGAAGGCGUCCUACCAGAACAGGUCCGACGGUGAGGGACGAAAGCUAGGGGCACGAACCGGAUUAGAUACCCGGGUAGUCCUAGCCGUAAACGAUGCCCGCUAGGUGUCACGGCGGUCGUGAAUCGCCGUGGUGCCGUAGGGAAGCCGCGAAGCGGGCCACUUGGGAAGUACGGCCGCAAGGCUGAAACUUAAAGGAAUUGGCGGGGGAGCAC
RNAcentral lists this ribosomal RNA (791 nucleotides) under uncultured archaeon. Its description in RNAcentral is "bacterial SSU rRNA". It matches the Rfam family "Archaeal small subunit ribosomal RNA", at positions 85 to 879 of the family's 1478-position model. The record is from RNAcentral.